This 3630-nucleotide long non-coding RNA is filed under the name Dicentrarchus labrax (European seabass). Its description in RNAcentral is "lncRNA (ENSDLAG00005034983.1)". The record is from RNAcentral. Lineage: Eukaryota; Metazoa; Chordata; Actinopteri; Moronidae.
AUGCCUUAUUACACUGAGUUGUUAGAGAGAGAAAAGGAAGGUAUUGCAGGUAUACUGUCAGAUGUGGUCACCCAAAGACAGAACAUGGAAAAUCAGUGGAAGCAAGGGUUUGAGUUGGAAAAACAAGAUCUUGAAAAACUGAAAGCAGUGCUGAAGCAAGAGAGAGAGGAUCUGGACAGAGUGAAUGAGAUCAUGAACAAAGAAGGAUUGGACUUAGAGCUGAUGAGAUCUGAAAUUCAGGAACAAAGUAAAUUAUUAGAAAAGGAGAAAAAGGAGAUAAAAGAGGGAAGACACAAGUUGGACAUCACAAAAGCUGAGCUAGAAAAGAAGAAAGAACAUGCAGACAGUCUGUUUGAUGAGAUAGACACAGAGAAGGCCAACAUUAAACAUCUGACCCUUCAAGUUCAGACAAAAAGAAACAAACUUGAACGUGUCAUGAACAUGAUUACCUUGAAACAACAAGAACAAGAACUCAAGGAAGAUGAGUUAACAAAACGAAAACAAGAACUGGUAAUGAGUAAGAACACUGUGCUAAAAGAAAGAGGAGAACUGGAUGUUUUGAGGAAGGAUCUGAACAAAAAGAAAGAAGAGGUUGAAGCUGCCAUGAACAGCAUCACUAGAGAGAGAGAACAACUCAGUAAAAUGAAGACUGACAAUGAGAAAGAGAAAGAAAUGAUUUUAAUUGAAAAGGACAGAAUAGAAGGCCAAUGCUCUGAACUGAAGAUGAGACAAGAUCAACUCGUGAAUGAAAUGAAAUCAAUACAAACUCUAAGAAGGAAGCUUCAACAGCUUAACGAAAGGAUCAUUGAAGACAUGAAAAACAAAAUGGACAAUUUGCAACAAAGGUCUGAAGAUGUGCAAAUGCUGUACACUGUAUUGGAAGAAAAGGUGGCAGACCUUGAUGGUGAAAAAGAAAAAAUGGCUUAUUACACUGAGUUGUUAGAGAGAGAAAAGGAAGUUAUUGCAGGUAUACUGUCAGAUGUGGUCACCCAAAGACAGGACAUGGAAAAUCAGUGUAAGCAAGGGUUUGAGUUGGAAAAACAAGAUCUUGAAAAACUGAAAGCAAUGCUGAAGCAAGAGAGAGGGGAUCUGGAUAGAGUGCAUGAGAUCAUGACCAAAGAAAGAUUGGACUUAGAGCUGAUGAGAUCUGAAAUUCAGGAACAAAGUAAAUUAUUAGAAAAGGAGAAAAAGGAGAUAAAAGAGGGAAGACACAAGUUGGACAGCACAAAAGCUGAGCUAGAAAAGAAGAAAGAACAUGCAGACAGUCUGUUUGAUGAGAUAGACACAGAGAAGGCCAACAUUAAACAUCUGACCCUUCAAGUUCAGACAAAAAGAAACCAACUUGAACAUGUCAUGAACAUGAUAACCUUAAAACAACAAGAACAAGAACUCAAGGAAGAUGAGUUAACAAAACGAAAACAAGAACUGGUAAUGAAUAAGAACACUGUGCUAACAGAAAGAGGAGAGCUGGAUGUUUUGAGGAAGGAUCUGAACAAAAAGAAAGAAGAGGUUGAAGCUGCCAUGAACAGCAUCACUAGAGAGAGAGAACAACUCAGUAAAAUGAAGACUGACAAUGAGAAAGAGAAAGAAAUGAUUUUAAUUGAAAAGGACAGAAUAGAAGUCCAAUGCUCUGAACUGAAGAUGAGACAAGAUCAACUCGUAAAUGAAAUGAAAUCAAUACAAACUCUGAGAAGGAAGCUUCAACAGCUUAACGAAAGGAUCAUUGAAGACAUGAAAAACAAAAUGGACAAUUUGCAACAAAGGUCUGAAGAUGUGCAAAUGCUGUACACUGUAUUGGAAGAAAAGGUGGCAGACCUUGAUGGUGAAAAAGAAAAAAUGGCUUAUUACACUGAGUUGUUAGAGAGAGAAAAGGAAGUUAUUGCAGGUAUACUGUCAGAUGUGGUAACCCAAAGACAGGACAUGGAGAAUCAGUGUAAGCAAGGGUUUGAGUUGGAAAAACAAGAUCUUGAAAAACUGAAAGCAGUGCUGAAGCAAGAGAGAGAGGAUCUGGAUAGAGUGCAUGAGAUCAUGACCAAAGAGAGACUGGAGCUAGAAACCAGUAAGAACAGUGUCCUUACAGAAAGAGGAGAACUGGAAGUUUUGGGGAAGGAUCUCAAAAAGAAGAAAGAAGAGGUCGACAUUGCCAUGAACAGCAUCAGUGGAGAGAGAGAACAACUCAGUAAAAUUAAGACUGACAAUGACAAAGAGAGAGAAGUACUUUUGAUUGAAAGGGACAGAAUAGAACUUGAAAGGUCUGAGGUGAAAAUAAAAGAAGAACAAGUCAUGAAGCAAAUGAAAUCAAUGGAAACUAUGAAAGUGAAGCUUCAGCGGCUGUACAAUAGGAUCAGUGAAGACAUGAAAAACAAAGUGGACAGUUUGCAACAAAACUGUGAAGGUGCGCAAAUUCUGUAUGCUACAUUGGAACAAAAGGUUGCAGCACUUGAUGGAGAAAAAGAAAAAUUGACUAAUUACACUGAGUUGUUAGAGAGAGAAAAGGAAGGUAUUGCAGGUAUACUGUCAGAUGUGGUCACCCAGAGACAGGGCAUGGAAAAUCAGUGUAAGCAAGGGUUUGAGUUGGAAAAACAAGAUCUUGAAAAACUGAAAGCAGUGCUGAAGCAAGAGAGAGAGGAUCUGGAUAGAGUGCAUGAGAUCAUGACCCAAGAGAGACUGGAGCUAGAAACCAGUAAGAACAGUGUCCUUACAGAAAGAGGAGAACUGGAAGUUUUGGGGAAGGAUCUCAAAAAGAAGAAAGAAGAGGUCGACAUUGCCAUGAACAGCAUCAGUGGAGAGAGAGAACAACUCAGUAAAAUGAAGACUGACAAUGACAAAGAGAGAGAAGUACUUUUGAUUGAAAGCGACAGAAUAGAAGUUGAAAGGUCUGAGGUGAAAAUAAAAGAAGAUCAAGUCAUGAAGCAAAUGAAAUCAAUGGAAACUAUGAAAGUGAAGCUUCAGCAACUGUACAAUAGGAUCAGUGAAGACAUGAAAAACAAAAUGGACAGUUUGCAACAAAACUGUGAAGGUGCGCAAAUUCUGUAUGCUACAUUGGAAGAAAAGGUUGCAGCACUUGAUAGAGAAAAAGAAAAAAUGGCUUAUUACACUGAGUUGUUAGAGAGAGAAAAGGAAGGUAUUGCAGCACUUGAUAUAGAAAAAGAAAAAAUGGCUUAUUACACUGAGUUGUUAGAGAGAGAAAAGGAAGGUAUUGCAGGUAUACUGUCAGAUGUGGUCACCCAGAGACAGGGCAUGGAAAAUCAGUGUAAGCAAGGGUUUGAGUUGGAAAAACAAGAUCUUGAAAAACUGAAAGCAGUGCUGAAGCAAGAGAGAGGGGAUCUGGAUAGAGUGCAUGAGAUCAUGACCAAAGAAAGAUUGGACUUAGAGCUGAUGAGAUCUGAAAUUCAGGAACAAAGUAAAUUAUUAGAAAAGGAGAAAAAGGAGAUAAAAAGAGGGAAGACACAAGUUGGACAGCACAAAAGCUGAGCCAGAAAAGAAGAAAGAACAUGCAGACAGUCUGUUUGAUGAGAUAGACACAGAGAAGGCCAACAUUAAACAUCUGACCCUUCAAGUUCAGACAAAAAGAAACCAACUUGAACAUGUCAUGAACAUGAUAACCUUAAAACAACAAGAACAAGAACU